Molecule: ribosomal RNA, 1340 nt
Filed under: metagenome
Description: SSU rRNA
Rfam family: Eukaryotic small subunit ribosomal RNA
Source: RNAcentral
GUAUAAGCGAACUUAUACAGUGAAACUGCGGAUGGCUCAUUAAAACAGUUUGAAUUUAUUUGAUGAAUGUAUGAGAAUACUACUUGGAUAACCGUAGUAAUUCUAGAGCUAAUACAUGCAACGACGCCCGACCGUUUCACUACGGAAGGGCUGUAUUUAUUGGAUACCAAAACCAUCCUUCCCUCGGGAAGUUUUGUUUGAUGAUUCACAAUAACUGAUCGGAUCGCCACUGUGGUGGCGACAGGUCAUUCAACAUUCUGCCCUAUCAGCUUUCGAUGGUUGUGUAGUGGACAACCAUGGCCAUAACGGGUAACGGAGAAUCAGGGUUCGAUUCCGGAGAAGGAGCUUGAGAAUUGGCUACUACAUCUAAGGAAGGCAGCAGGCGCGCAAAUUACCCAAUCCCGAUUCGGGGAGGUAGUGACAAAAAAUAACAAUACCGGGCCUUUUUGGGCUUGGUAAUUGGAAUGAGGGAGAGUUAAACGGACCAUCGAGUAUCCAUUGGAGGGCAAGUCUGGUGCCAGCAGCUGCGGUAAUACCAGCUCCAAUAGCGUAUAUUAAAGUUGUUGCAGUUAAAAAGCUCGUAGUUGGACUUGUGUGCGCUGUCCGCGGGUGGCCUGCACCCAAAAGGGCGUUUCGGUUCGGCCCCGGUGGCGCCUUGAAAUCUGCAGCUGGGGGGACGUUGGCCUUAACUGGUCGGCGACCGCACGCCGGCUGCUCGGUUACUGUGAGAAAAUUAGAGUGUUCAAGGCAGGCAUUGGGUGCAAUUGAAUACAUUAGCAUGGAAUAAUAAAAUAUGGCUCCUGCCGUAUUUUGUUGGUUUUGACUGGUGGGAGUAAUGAUUGAUAGGGACGGUUGGGGGUGCUAGUAUUGAGCGGCCAGAGGUGAAAUUCAUGGAUUCGCUCAAGACUAACUUAUGCGAAAGCAUUCACCAAGGACGUCCUCUUUAAUCAAGAACGAAAGUUGGGGGAUCGAAGACGAUCAGAUACCGUCGUAGUCUCAACCAUAAACUAUGUCGACUUGGGAUCGGCGGUAGUUUUUUCAUUAAGACACUGUCGGGACCACGGGAGAAAUCAAAGUGUCUGGACUCUGGGGGAAGUAUGGUCGCAAGGCUGAAACUUGAAGGAAUUGACGGAAGGGCACCACCAGGAGUGGAGCCUGCGGCUUAAUUUGACACAACACGGGGAAACUUACCAGGUCCAGAGAUGUAGAGGAUUGACAGAUUGAAGCUCUUUCUUGAUCACUUCGGUGGUGGUGCAUGGCCGUUCUUAAUUGGUGGAGUGAUUUGUCUGGUUAAUUCCGUUAACGGACGAGACCUCAGCCUGCUAGUGUAGUCGGCUGGA